UCGGAUUGUAGUCUGCAACUCGACUACAUGAAGCUGGAAUCGCUAGUAAUCGCGAAUCAGCAUGUCGCGGUGAAUACGUUCCCGGGUCUUGUACACACCGCCCGUCACACCAUGGGAGUCGGUAACGCCCGAAGUCAGUGACCCAACCGGAAGGAGGGAGCUGCCGAAGGCGGGACUGGUAACUGGGGUGAAGUCGUAACAAGGUAGC
RNAcentral lists this ribosomal RNA (208 nucleotides) under uncultured bacterium. RNAcentral describes it as "partial 16S ribosomal RNA". It matches the Rfam family "Bacterial small subunit ribosomal RNA", at positions 1293 to 1500 of the family's 1533-position model. The record is from RNAcentral.